GUGGCUAUGGCUCAGUGGUAGAGUGCUUGCCUGGCAUGUGUGAGGUCCUGGAUUCAAUCCUCAGUACCACA
RNAcentral lists this transfer RNA (71 nucleotides) under Marmota monax (woodchuck). It matches the Rfam family "tRNA". Rfam says of the family: Transfer RNA (tRNA) molecules are approximately 80 nucleotides in length. Their secondary structure includes four short double-helical elements and three loops (D, anti-codon, and T loops). Further hydrogen bonds mediate the characteristic L-shaped molecular structure. tRNAs have two regions of fundamental functional importance: the anti-codon, which is responsible for specific mRNA codon recognition, and the 3' end, to which the tRNAs corresponding amino acid is attached (by aminoacyl-tRNA synthetases). tRNAs cope with the degeneracy of the genetic code in two manners: having more than one tRNA (with a specific anti-codon) for a particular amino acid; and 'wobble' base-pairing, i.e. permitting non-standard base-pairing at the 3rd anti-codon position. Lineage: Eukaryota; Metazoa; Chordata; Mammalia; Rodentia; Sciuridae. The record is from Rfam by way of RNAcentral.